This 116-nucleotide ribosomal RNA is filed under the name Pteropus alecto (black flying fox). The record is from RNAcentral. Lineage: Eukaryota; Metazoa; Chordata; Mammalia; Chiroptera; Pteropodidae.
GUCUAUGGCCAUGCUACCCUGAACAAGCCCAAUGUCUGAUCUUGAAAGCUAAGCAGGGUCAGGCCUGGUUAGUACUUGGAUGGGAGACCACCUAGGAAGACCAGAUGCGGUAGGCA